CAGAAAGCUGCAGCACAUUACACCAGAAACUGACUUCAGCUCCUGGCUGGAGUAGAUUUUUAGUAAAUGACCCCCAACAUUCCCAUAAUACAGCGCUAAAUCCAGUUAAAACCAUUCAUAUUUCACGUCCUGCCUAGCUCCACAGCGUCAGGAUUCUGGUGUAUGAGGCUCAUGUGCAGACAGUCUAUCUUCAGGAUGAUAUACAGCCUGUAUACAGAUUAUAUUUAAUGUACUUGAAUUACGAGAGUGCAGUUUACAUGCCGCUGUGACGGAUUUUUGGAAAAGUUGUCAGUGUGAUUAGUCAGAUGACUAAAAAACAGAGUGUAUGUAGCUUUUAUGUGUGGUGUGAUUUUAUUUCAUUUUUGUGCUGGAGUUCCCCUUUUGUUUUUGUUUUGCCGAUUUGGCCAUUUUUAAGCAGAUAUCCAUCUUACACCGAUGUGCGGCAAUAUUACAGCCAUGUGAAACUACCUCAAAGGGGUUGUUCAGAGGGAUUACAUUUUUUAUAUAUGGCUCAGAGUGGGUUAAAAAAAAAAGCCAUACUUUCCCUCAACGAUCCGCCAUUAAGGACCGGUUUGGAGACUCUGCUGAUUUGAUAUACAAAAGAUAUACAAAAAUUGCAUUGAAAAGUAUUAUUCUAGGGGGGUGAUCAGUAUACAUAUAGCAUAUGGGAGAACUGAAAGCCUGUCUCAGGAAAUGUAGUCUGGUGGAGAGAGGUUUUACUGUAUAGGAGUUUUCUCAGACUUCUAUAUCUCACUUGUGAGAACCCUGGAGCUGUACUAUAAGAAAUGUAUGCAAAAAAAAACUAGAAAACCGUGUAUUUGGAUGUAGAGCCUUGACACUGACACUUGCAUGUGUGCGCUGAGGUUUUAAUGCAUUACUAUUUAUUUUAAUGAUUGUCAUGACCUUGACAUCUCAUAUCCGUUGGGACAAAAAAAUAUAAAAUAUAAAAAUAAGUCAUCCAUAA
Molecule: long non-coding RNA, 964 nt
Organism: Bufo bufo (common toad)
Lineage: Eukaryota; Metazoa; Chordata; Amphibia; Anura; Bufonidae
Exons: 2
Source: RefSeq, a predicted model, not a curated record